AGCAUUGCACUUGUCAACGGUUUAUGGGCGUUAGGCCCGAUUCCGUGACAAAGGGGACGGGGGACCCAAGGGCCCACGUCCCGGGAAAAGGGGAAAGGGGAAAAGGGUAGGGAGAUGGCCCUGAGAGCAAAGAACAGCGGCAACAAUCUGAGGAGAAACAAACUAAUUUACUAAAUAAAAUAUCGGAAUGCAAAACAACACACUAUAAUACAAUAUAAUUACAAUUUAAGCUGCUUAGGCUCUCAGGAUCUUCCAGGUGUUCAGGAGUUCACCUGGGUGCCGUGUAAAGUCUUUUCUCAAGACUCGAAGUUCAGUCAUUUUCAGAGGACGAGUAGUAAGGGUUUCAACAUCUCUUGCCGUUGUUGUUGCCCUGGCGGGCGUUGGUGACCGGGAUCUCGUUGAGGGCCCUUCCCCUGGACUUUGGGGUGGCUCCCCUGGACUUGAUAUUCGUUUCACCUUCCGUCCUCUUACAGGGGCAACUGAAAUCAGUUGUGGUGCCUCCUGUGGUUGAUCAGGCUGGUUGUUUUUCAUGUUCUGUCUCUCAAGCUCGGCUUGGACCAACUUUUCUGUUACGGCAUGAAAGUUGGAUUGGAGAGCAUGUAGUUCUGUUUGUCCUGCUCGGAUUGGAGACAACUGAGCUUGGAUUGCAGAGUGUUCCUCUCAUUUUGGAAGGUGUCUCGCUCGGAUUGCAGAGUGUCCUGCUCGGACUGGAGACAAUCGAGCUUGGAUUGCAGAGUGUCCCGCUCGGAUUGGAGACAGUCGAGCUUGGAUUGCAGAGUGUCCCGCUCAUUUUGGAAGGUGUACCAUUCUGACUGGAAGAUGUUUUCCUGAGAUCGGAGAUUAUUUCUUUCGGCUCGGAGAUCUUCCUUUUCAGCUUGGAGAAUUUCUUUCUCAGCUUGGAGACACUCUCGCUCAUUCAGUACUUUCUGACGGAAACUCUCCUUUUCACUUUGAAAACUCUCCCUUUCCUUUUGGAAACUCUCUCUCUCAGCUUCGAAACAAUCUAUUUUGGUUUGGAGACCCUGUAUUUCAGUUUGGAGACCCUGUAUUUUGGUUUGGAAACUCUGUCUCUCAUUUUCAAACUAUAAAUUCAAUACAGAGAGAGAGAAUGUCCCAAAAUCAAGGUAGGCCUUACUCUACUACCGACGAUAAGACGGCUGGGGAGCGAGGUGCUGCCAAGACGAGAGACGGCGGAAAAAAGGGACGAGGUCUCGUGAUCUGCAAGUUUUUAUACUGCGAGCUUUUAUCUUUUCCCUCCGGCUGGAAAUGGUAACAGAGGAGCAAAGUACCGUGGGGACUGUAGUAGUCCUUCUCUUCUGAGAACUAGGUAUAUCCACUACAUGAUGUUAUGAUGUGGAAUACCAAUAACCGAAAAUCAUAAAACCAUGACAGCACUUUAAGAAAUAUGGAGGCAAAAAAAAAAAAAAGAGCUUAAGUGGGAAGAGGAGACAGAACAGGAAAAAUAG
RNAcentral lists this long non-coding RNA (1466 nucleotides) under Numida meleagris (helmeted guineafowl). RNAcentral's name for it is "lncRNA (ENSNMEG00000022651.1)". The record is from RNAcentral. Lineage: Eukaryota; Metazoa; Chordata; Aves; Galliformes; Numididae.